Lampris incognitus (smalleye Pacific opah) is the source of this 300-nucleotide long non-coding RNA. RefSeq lists it as uncharacterized. NCBI's taxonomy places the organism in Eukaryota, Metazoa, Chordata, Actinopteri, Lampriformes, Lampridae. The transcript has 3 exons. The record is from RefSeq and is a predicted model, not a curated record.
UCCUCAAAUUUUGCGUUCACGUUUACAGAUAGCUCGGUGUACAUUCUCUGACAUGCUCUCUAUCUGGCGGUUCUCGGUGCUCGCUUGAUUUUUCCCCACUUUGGUCGUGUGAGAGGCCAAAAUCGAAGUUUUGCAGCCGCAGAAUCGCUGCUCUGUUUGACUUGUUCAUUGUCCUUUGCGCUCGGUGAGAGUUGAAGAACGGCCACACACCAACGCCAGCAGCUCCAAGAGGCCGUCCAGAAGACACACCAGCAGCGUCGACUGAAGGUGGCUGACACUGUCCAUUGAUCAAGAAUGUCC